RNAcentral lists this non-coding RNA (31 nucleotides) under Homo sapiens (human). Lineage: Eukaryota; Metazoa; Chordata; Mammalia; Primates; Hominidae. The record is from RNAcentral.
UGGGAUGUGAGGAGCCCCUCUGCCUGGCUGC